RNAcentral lists this ribosomal RNA (254 nucleotides) under uncultured bacterium. RNAcentral describes it as "partial 16S ribosomal RNA". It matches the Rfam family "Bacterial small subunit ribosomal RNA", at positions 524 to 776 of the family's 1533-position model. The record is from RNAcentral.
UACGGGGGGGGGCAAGCGUUGUUCGGAAUUACUGGGCGUAAAGGGUGCGUAGGCGGUCCGCUAAGUUGGAUGUGAAAACUCUGGGCUUAACCCAGAGCCUGCAUUCAAAACUGACGGGCUAGAGUUCUGGAGGGGGUAGCGGAAUUCCUGGUGUAGCGGUGAAAUGCGUAGAUAUCAGGAGGAACACCGGUGGCGAAGGCGGGUCUCUGGGCCGAUACUGACGCUGAGGAGCGAAAGCGUGGGGAGCGAACAGG